GGCUGGGUAUUUUAAUAUAAAAAAAAUAGUUUGCGUCUAUGCAAUGGGCAUGCCCUCCAGCCC
RNAcentral lists this transfer RNA (63 nucleotides) under Falcidens acutargatus. RNAcentral's name for it is "tRNA-Ala". Lineage: Eukaryota; Metazoa; Mollusca; Caudofoveata; Chaetodermatida; Chaetodermatidae. The record is from RNAcentral.